UUUAAUGAGAGUUUGAUCCUGGCUCAGGACGAACGCUGGCGGCGUGCCUAAUACAUGCAAGUAGAACGCUGAUGUUUGGUGUUUACACUAGACUGAUGAGUUGCGAACGGGUGAGUAACGCGUAGGUAACCUGCCUCAUAGCGGGGGAUAACUAUUGGAAACGAUAGCUAAUACCGCAUAAGAGUAAUUAACACAUGUUAGUUAUUUAAAAGGAGCAAUU
RNAcentral lists this ribosomal RNA (220 nucleotides) under Streptococcus agalactiae STIR-CD-28. RNAcentral's name for it is "partial 16S ribosomal RNA". It matches the Rfam family "Bacterial small subunit ribosomal RNA", at positions 1 to 215 of the family's 1533-position model. The record is from RNAcentral. RNAcentral also lists the same sequence under 1 other name. Lineage: Bacteria; Bacillati; Bacillota; Bacilli; Lactobacillales; Streptococcaceae.